UCUUUGGUGGUCUAGCUGUAUGACUGUGUUCGACUCAUAAAGCUAGAUCAGCAAGGC
This 57-nucleotide microRNA precursor is filed under the name Triops cancriformis. RNAcentral describes it as "microRNA tcf-mir-9b precursor". Its record names the gene tcf-mir-9b. The record is from miRBase by way of RNAcentral. Lineage: Eukaryota; Metazoa; Arthropoda; Branchiopoda; Notostraca; Triopsidae.